Molecule: ribosomal RNA, 501 nt
Filed under: uncultured bacterium
Lineage: Bacteria
Description: partial 16S ribosomal RNA
Rfam family: Bacterial small subunit ribosomal RNA
Source: RNAcentral
AUUGAACGCUGGCGGCAGGCUUAACACAUGCAAGUCGAGCGGGGGAAGGUAGCUUGCUACCGGACCUAGCGGCGGACGGGUGAGUAAUGCUUAGGAAUCUGCCUAUUAGUGGGGGACAACAUCUCGAAAGGGAUGCUAAUACCGCAUACGUCCUACGGGAGAAAGCAGGGGAUCUUCGGACCUUGCGCUAAUAGAUGAGCCUAAGUCAGAUUAGCUAGUUGGUGGGGGAAAGGCCUACCAAGGCGACGAUCUGUAGCGGGUCUGAGAGGAUGAUCCGCCACACUGGGACUGAGACACGGCCCAGACUCCUACGGGAGGCAGCAGUGGGGAAUAUUGGACAAUGGGGGGAACCCUGAUCCAGCCAUGCCGCGUGUGUGAAGAAGGCCUUAUGGUUGUAAAGCACUUUAAGCGAGGAGGAGGCUACUUUAGUUAAUACCUAGAGAUAGUGGACGUUACUCGCAGAAUAAGCACCGGCUAACUCUGUGCCAGCAGCCGCCGUAA